UGAACCUUAAAAUUAAUCCUGACCUGGUU
RNAcentral lists this non-coding RNA (29 nucleotides) under Mus musculus (house mouse). The record is from RNAcentral. Lineage: Eukaryota; Metazoa; Chordata; Mammalia; Rodentia; Muridae.